UUAAGAGCUUGCUCUUAUGAAGUUAGCGGCGGACGGGUGAGUAACACGUGGGUAACCUACCCAUAAGACUGGGAUAACUCCGGGAAACCGGGGCUAAUACCGGAUAAUAUUUUGAACUGCAUAGUUCGAAAUUGAAAGGCGGCUUCGGCUGUCACUUAUGGAUGGACCCGCGUCGCAUUAGCUAGUUGGUGAGGUAACGGCUCACCAAGGCAACGAUGCGUAGCCGACCUGAGAGGGUGAUCGGCCACACUGGGACUGAGACACGGCCCAGACUCCUACGGGAGGCAGCAGUAGGGAAUCUUCCGCAAUGGACGAAAGUCUGACGGAGCAACGCCGCGUGAGUGAUGAAGGCUUUCGGGUCGUAAAACUCUGUUGUUAGGGAAGAACAAGUGCUAGUUGAAUAAGCUGGCACCUUGACGGUACCUAACCAGAAAGCCACGGCUAACUACGUGCCAGCAGCCGCGGUAAUACGUAGGUGGCAAGCGUUAUCCGGAAUUAUUGGGCGUAAAGCGCGCGCAGGUGGUUUCUUAAGUCUGAUGUGAAAGCCCACGGCUCAACCGUGGAGGGUCAUUGGAAACUGGGAGACUUGAGUGCAGAAGAGGAAAGUGGAAUUCCAUGUGUAGCGGUGAAAUGCGUAGAGAUAUGGAGGAACACCAGUGGCGAAGGCGACUUUCUGGUCUGUAACUGACACUG
RNAcentral lists this ribosomal RNA (693 nucleotides) under Bacillus mycoides. RNAcentral's name for it is "bacterial SSU rRNA". It matches the Rfam family "Bacterial small subunit ribosomal RNA", at positions 72 to 748 of the family's 1533-position model. The record is from RNAcentral. Lineage: Bacteria; Bacillati; Bacillota; Bacilli; Caryophanales; Bacillaceae.